Papaver somniferum (opium poppy) is the source of this 3107-nucleotide RNA transcript. It is a transcript of the gene named U1 small nuclear ribonucleoprotein 70 kDa-like, with no coding region annotated. Lineage: Eukaryota; Viridiplantae; Streptophyta; Magnoliopsida; Ranunculales; Papaveraceae. The record is from RefSeq and is a predicted model, not a curated record. The transcript has 11 exons.
AAUUUCCCCGUCUCUACCAGGGCAGCAGUCCUCCGCUGAAGAAAAACUCAUUCGCUCCUAAAAAAAUCCUCUGAUUUCCCUCACUAAUCCUUACCCAGAUUACUCAAUUAUUUAUGAUUUUAUAAUUUAUUCAUUCAUUCAAUUUUUUUGUUAACCUAGAGCAUUCAGUGUAGUAAGUUGAGUGAAAAUGACGAUAGAUGAUGAUAAUUCAAUAUACGUUGGUGGGAUUCCAUAUGAUUGCACAGAAGAAGACAUUCGCAGAGUUUUUGAUUUAUACGGUUCUGUUAUCGCUGUUAAGAUUAUUAACGCUCGUGAUGUUGGUGGGAAAUGCUAUUGCUUUGUCACUUUUACCAAUCCGAGAGCUGCAAUUGACGCCAUUAAUGAUAUGAAUGGAAGGAUGAUUGGUGGACGUGUUGUAAAAGUGAAUGAAGUGAAUGCAAGAGGAGCUGGAAGACCACCACCUCCUCCGUUUCAUCGUACUUCUGAGAGGGAUAUGGACUGGAACAAUAGAGGUAGAGAAAGGGAAAGAGGGGGUUAUGAUCAUGAAAGGGAUCGUUAUGGUAGAGGUGAAAGAAAUAAUAAUGCUGAUCGCUCUCAAGAUGGAUAUGACCGUCCACGAGGUGAUUAUGAUCGAAAUAGAGAUCAUUUCUUAGAUAGAGAUCAAGUUCGGGUUCCUGAGCCUUAUGAGCAUGAAAGGAACAGGAGUCAUGAUCGAGACAGGGGUAAGGACCAUAAUUUGGAUCUUGACUUGUUACAGCAGACUGAAUAUGACCGCCCACAUGAUUAUGAUCGAAGUAGAGACCGCUCCUUAGACCGAGAUCAAGUCAGGGGUCGUGAUUAUCAUGAGCGAGACAGGAGCAGGAGCCAGGAUCGAGCUCGCAGUAAGGAGCUGGACUUGAAGCGAGAUACUGAGGUGAAUAGAAGUAUUGAGAAUAACAGAAAAGAUAUGGAUACAAGGAGUCAGAGUGGUUCCCAUUUUAAUGAUCGCCGUAGCAGGGAGCUGUCAUCGAGCUCCAACGAUAAUUAUAAUGACGAGGGAAAGGAACGGUUGGAUGUGUCAACACAAAAGCAUGGAGAUCUUGAAAAGAAGAUUUCUCAAAUUAAAGAGAGGUUAGAAGAGAAAAACCAUCUUGUAUCUGAAUUAAAGAAAAAAUCUCAGAAAUUGGAGGACUCAGUUGCCUCUGCAAAGAGGCUUACUUCUCAACGGCAGAUGCAGUUGACCAUGUUGCAGAGGUGUUUUCUCCAAGUAAAAGACUACAGAGAAAAGCUUAAAAACUCGGAACAGGAACUCCAGUCUCUUGUUGAAACUGUAAUGGCUGAUGUUGAUCACGGGGAUGAGGAUGAUUGAAAUGGGAUGGUUCUCUAUGCACAAAUGGUCAUCCAAAGAUGCCCUGCCCUAAUCUAUGGUUUGUUGAAACUUCCUACUAGUUCUCUUCCUCUUAGAUGCAAAAAGUCGUAUAUAAAUUUUACAGUAAAGAAAUAAAUCAUGGAGUACUCUUUCUUUUCAAGCAAUGGCAUCUUCUGUAUCAAUAAUGCGUAAGAAAACGUUGGGAUCUAUUAAAGAGGUUGAAGAUGGCAAAUUCUGUAACCUAUCAGUACUCGACCGUGUCAUGGAACCGUCUAGCCUCCGCAUCGUCUUAUACUAUCAAUUCCCAGCUAAUACCAACUUCGCCAAGCUGAAGAAAAAGUUUGGUAUUUCAAUAUCAUACACACUUUCAGCAUUUACAAUUGUGGUUGGGAGGUUGAUAGCCAACCCUACGCCAUCAGAGGGUCACUGGCAUAUCAAAUGCAACGAUGAUGGUGUGAGAACCAUUGAAGCAAGAGCGAACUGUAGCCUUGAAGAGUGGCUGAUGUCUGUGACCAGAGAGAAGGAACUCGAGCUUAUUUAUUGGGAUGAAAUGCCUAACAAUCCACAUUUAUGGUCUGCCUUCUAUGUUCAGCUUACAGAAUUUGAAGAAGGUGGCUUUUCAGUUGGAUUAAGCUGUGCCCAUCUGCUUGCAGACGCAAUGACCGCCACCAUGUUCCUCAAAGCCUGGGCUGAUUCGCACCUAUUGAGGAAAAUCCAGUCUCCUCCAUUGUUCCACCCCUUGCCAUCACGAAAACUGUGCAGCACCAAUACAAAAAACCACGAACUACACUUUGACUUGAUCAACCAGUACAAAUCAUCUAUAGAAAGCAUCUCUAACCCAAUAACCGCAUCAAAAAGUGAAGAGUACUCAACAAUCACUUUUGCAUUUAGUGAUGAAAUGGUUAGAAAAUGCAUAUUCGAGAUGUCAUCAGAUUCAUCGCCUUUUGCUGCACUGGCCGCACUGUUUUGGGUAUGCAUUAGUAAGGUGAAAGGGAGAAAAGAAGGGCUUAUCAACAUGUGUGUGUGUUUAGAUAUGAGAAAUGUGUUGGGACUUGGAAAAGAUUUUUUUGGCAAUUGUAUGGUUUUCAACAAGGUGUCUGGAGACAUUGAGGUAGCAGAGAAAGAAGCUGGACUAGCGAAUGCGGCUCGGGCAAUGCAGAGCGUUGUUGGUGAAAUGGAGGAAAAGGAAAGGAUUAUGGAUUUGAUUGAAUGGUUGAAAAAGAAUACUGGUACUCAUCGAAUAUUCCAACCGAUAAAUGGUAAUGAUGUUAUAUGUGCUGGGAUAACUUAGACCCGUAUUCGGCCGAAUUCGAGUCCGGUUUUAAACCGGUACGGGCUUCGUACCACUUGGGACCUGUAUUUGGAGAAGGGCAAAUACUAAUCCUUCCCUCACCAAAGGGUAGUGAAAAAGAAGGUUCAAUGGGUAGAGUGGUAAUGGUUACACUGCCAAAAGAUGAAGCUGCUAAACUCAUUGAAGAAUCCUUAAUUCUCAACUUAUCUCCCAAUAUUCUUAUGAAAAGUUAGGUUUGAAAAAUGAGUUUGUGGACUUAAUUGAGACAAAAUAAAUAUGCGAUUAUCAUCAAAAUAAUUUGGGUUAUUUAGUUUUAACUCAAUAAAUUAAAAGAAACUAUAAAUCAUACUUGUACUAGUAAGAUGAACAUAAUUUUAUAUACUGAAUUAGUAUACGUAAAACGCAUUAAAUGUGAUUUAACUUCUUAAUUGAACAUUUCACUUAACAUAUUAAUACGCAAGUAUAAAC